RNAcentral lists this ribosomal RNA (253 nucleotides) under uncultured bacterium. RNAcentral describes it as "partial 16S ribosomal RNA". It matches the Rfam family "Bacterial small subunit ribosomal RNA", at positions 524 to 776 of the family's 1533-position model. The record is from RNAcentral.
UACGAAGGGGGCUAGCGUUGCUCGGAAUGACUGGGCGUAAAGGGCGCGUAGGCGGCGAUCACAGUCAGAUGUGAAAUUCCUGGGCUUAACCUGGGGGCUGCAUUUGAUACGUGGUUGCUUGAGUGGGGAAGAGGGUCGUGGAAUUCCCAGUGUAGAGGUGAAAUUUGUAGAUAUUGGGAAGAACACCGGUGGCGAAGGCGGCGACCUGGUCCUUGACUGACGCUGAGGCGCGAAAGCGUGGGGAGCGAACAGG